AUGCAGAGAACUUCCAGAGAUGGAUUGGUGCCUUCGGGAACUCUGACACAGGUGCUGCAUGGCUGUCGUCAGGCUCGUGUCGUGAGAUGUUGGGUUAAGUCCCGUUAACGAGCGCAACCCUUGUCCUUAGUUACCAGCACGUUAUGGUGGGCACUCUAAGGAGACUGCCGGUGACAAACCGGAGGAAGGUGGGGAUGACGUCAAGUCAUCAUCGGCCCUUACGGCCUGGGCUACACACGUGCUACAAUGGUCGGUACAAAGGGUUGCCAAGCCGCGAGGUGGAGCUAAUCCCAUAAAACCGAUCGUAGUCCGGAUCGCAGUCUGCAACUCGACUGCGUGAAGUCGGAAUCGCUAGUAAUCGUGAAUCAGAAUGUCACGGUGAAUACGUUCCCGGGCCUU
This 399-nucleotide ribosomal RNA is filed under the name uncultured Pseudomonas sp. RNAcentral describes it as "bacterial SSU rRNA". It matches the Rfam family "Bacterial small subunit ribosomal RNA", at positions 986 to 1382 of the family's 1533-position model. The record is from RNAcentral. Lineage: Bacteria; Pseudomonadati; Pseudomonadota; Gammaproteobacteria; Pseudomonadales; Pseudomonadaceae.